CGGUUUCGGCAUCGGGCGCACCCUCGACCCCGCCACGCCGCGUGAGUGAUGAAGGCCUUCGGGUUGUAAAGCUCUUGUCGGGGGGACGAUUAUGACGGUAGCUCGCAGAAGAAGCUGCGGCUGACUACUGUGGCAGCAGCCGCCGUAAUAUUA
This 153-nucleotide ribosomal RNA is filed under the name uncultured bacterium. RNAcentral describes it as "partial 16S ribosomal RNA". It matches the Rfam family "Bacterial small subunit ribosomal RNA", at positions 359 to 529 of the family's 1533-position model. The record is from RNAcentral.